This 399-nucleotide ribosomal RNA is filed under the name uncultured bacterium. Its description in RNAcentral is "bacterial SSU rRNA". It matches the Rfam family "Bacterial small subunit ribosomal RNA", at positions 51 to 483 of the family's 1533-position model. The record is from RNAcentral.
ACACAUGCAAGUCGUACGAGAAAGUGGAGCAAUCCAUGAGUAAAGUGGCGACCGGGUGAGUAACACGUGACUACCUACCUUCUAGUGGGGGAUAACUCCGGGAAACCGGAGCUAAUACCGCAUAACAUCGCAAGAUCAAAGCAGCAAUGCGCUGGAAGAGGGGGUCGCGGCUGAUUAGCUAGUUGGUAGGGUAAUGGCCUACCAAGGCAAAGAUCGGUAUCCGGCCUGAGAGGGCGCACGGACACACUGGAACUGAAACACGGUCCAGACUCCUACGGGAGGCAGCAGUGGGGAAUUUUGCGCAAUGGGGGAAACCCUGACGCAGCAACGCCGCGUGGAGGAUGAAGUCCUUUGGGACGUAAACUCCUUUCGACCAAGACGAUAAUGACGGUACUGGUG